CAUGGAGAGUGACGAUUUGUCUCAACCCUUUUCUCAAUUCUCUUUUUGUGACCUUCUUUUCCUCAUCCAAGUUACUACCAGAUCCAUAACUACCAGAUUUACAUGGUUUGGUUAAUCAAUCCAGAUUUGCAAGAGCUUGUGCGCUAGAACACACCAUGUUUGUGAUGAUGGCAUCGUCCUGACUUGCUGCUGUUCUUUGCCAGGAGGCAGUGUGGAUGCUGGGGUGUUACUCUCAGAGAAUAUGAAAUUCAUGAGCUGUCACGUGGACAAGAUCGUCAUGUGGCUUCAGCCACUAUUCCCUGAGCUUGUGGGACAGACGAUACGUCACCAUGCUGUUAGCCACAGUCAGACAAGGACCGUCGUAACCUGGAGCCUGGACGUGCCUGAAAUGGAGUCUCGAGAGGCAUUCGUAGGAAGUCUGAGGGCGUCCUCUCGGAGGAUGAAUUGUUGCCGAAGCCAGAAUUGCCAAGAGGCAGCUCAGUGGCCCAGGCCUGCAGAUGCCCCCUCUCCCAUUUUCAUGGGGCUUACUCUGUAUGACUCACUUCCUUCAAGCCACAUUGAGGGCAGUUCAUUAGGAAACAGGACAAAGAAACUGGCCACAUUCCAAAGGAACAGAGGAUCUCACAGGUUCCUUCAGGAACAUGUAGCAACACUGGACACUGCAGAUGCCUCAUUCCAGACCAGAGGCUUCUAGCAUGUCUUCAGUAGGAGGAGCUAAAUUUCAAAUCCCUCACUUUCUGGUCUUUGGCAAAUAAUUAUCAAUAUUCCUUUGAUAAAGACCUUACAAGAUUUA
Molecule: long non-coding RNA, 793 nt
Organism: Hyaena hyaena (striped hyena)
Lineage: Eukaryota; Metazoa; Chordata; Mammalia; Carnivora; Hyaenidae
Exons: 2
Source: RefSeq, a predicted model, not a curated record